Molecule: long non-coding RNA, 752 nt
Organism: Lutra lutra (Eurasian river otter)
Lineage: Eukaryota; Metazoa; Chordata; Mammalia; Carnivora; Mustelidae
Exons: 3
Source: RefSeq, a predicted model, not a curated record
AAAAAAAGAACUACUACUACUAGAGGAAAGAAGGCUGGAGAGAAUUGGGAGAGGUAUAAAAUCUAACCCAUCAUCCAAAUGGGCUAGCACUUUAUUUUUAUGACUGGACUAGCAAAACCAAAUCCUUCAUAUUGCCUCUCACAACUCUCAGGACCAAGAACAAACAUUUACUAGAUAAGAAGAAAGAACACUGUUCAUGAGACAUCCCAUUUUUCUACCCAAUAUUCUUCUAAGAUGGUAAACAAAGGCAAAUAUACAAAAGCAAAAAGUUCAAGAGAAGCAGGAAAAGACCUAAGAACAAUGAACUCUUCAAAUAUUUUAUAAGGUAGCAUGUUUAUUAUAUGCCUAAGUUGUUUAGUUAUUUCUCAUUUUCAACCCUAUACCAAAAAAGCUUUCCAAAUCACUUUAAUUCCAUAUAAUAUAGGCCAUAACAAUCAGCACUCCAAAUCCAGAGUGAGCAUAUUCCUUGCUGUAUUUACCAAUAAUUUAUAGAAAACCAGUGACCAAUAAUUUAUAGAAAGCAAAUCAAAAAUACACAUAACCUGCUAUAAGUUUGGCUAUGGCAUUUAGGAUUACAAAGAACUUCUUAAAUCCCACUUCAGUCCCAAGAACAAUAUUAAGGUCUAGGUUUUCUGGGAUGUUCUAAACACCUAAGUCUAGGUAAGGCUAACUGCUAUCUAGUGUCACCAUGAACAGAUAAUAAUCUAAGUCCAGGGUAAAGAUAACUCCAGUUCAUCAAAAAGAGGCACCAU